Molecule: ribosomal RNA, 445 nt
Filed under: uncultured bacterium
Lineage: Bacteria
Description: partial 16S ribosomal RNA
Rfam family: Bacterial small subunit ribosomal RNA
Source: RNAcentral
ACCAGACUCCUACGGGAGGCAGCAGUGGGGGAUAUUGCACAAUGGGGGGAACCCUGAUGCAGCGACGCCGCGUGGGUGAAGAAGCGCCUCGGCGCGUAAAGCCCUGUCAGCAGGGAAGAAAAUGACGGUACCUGAAGAAGAAGCCCCGGCUAACUACGUGCCAGCAGCCGCGGUAAUACGUAGGGGGCAAGCGUUACCCGGAUUUACUGGGUGUAAAGGGGGCGCAGACGGCGAUGCAAGCCAGGAGUGAAAGCCCGGGGCCCAACCCCGGGACUGCUCUUGGAACUGCGUGGCUGGAGUGCAGGAGGGGCAGGCGGAAUUCCUGGUGUAGCGGUGAAAUGCGUAGAUAUCAGGAGGAACACCGGUGGCGAAGGCGGCCUGCUGGACUGCAACUGACGUUGGGGCUCGAAAGCGUGGGGAGCAAACAGGAUUAGAUACCCCUGUA